Molecule: ribosomal RNA, 265 nt
Filed under: uncultured Glomus
Lineage: Eukaryota; Fungi; Glomeromycota; Glomeromycetes; Glomerales; Glomeraceae
Description: partial 18S ribosomal RNA
Rfam family: Eukaryotic small subunit ribosomal RNA
Source: RNAcentral
UUAAAAAGCUCGUAGUUGAAUUUCGGGGUUAGUAGGUUGGUCAUGCCUCUGGUAUGUACUGGUCUCACCGAUUCCUCCUUCCUGAUGAACCGUAAUGCCAUUAAUUUGGUGUUGCGGGGAAUUUGGACUGUUACUUUGAAAAAAUUAGAGUGUUUAAAGCAAGCUAACGCUUGAAUACAUUAGCAUGGAAUAAUGAAAUAGGACGUUCGAUCCUAUUUUGUUGGUUUCUAGGAUUGACAUAAUGAUUAAUAGGGAUAGUUGGGGG